AUUCUUCUACGGGACGCAGCAGUGGGGAAUAUUGCACAAUGGGGGAAACCCUGAUGCAGCGACGCCGCGUGAGUGAGGAAGUAUUUCGGUAUGUAAAGCUCUAUCAGCAGGGAAGAAAAUGACGGUACCUGACUAAGAAGCCCCGGCUAACUACGUGCCAGCAGCCGCGGUAAUACGUAGGGGGCAAGCGUUAUCCGGAUUUACUGGGUGUAAAGGGAGCGUAGACGGAGGAGCAAGUCUGAUGUGAAAAUCCGGGGCCCAACCCCGGAACUGCCUUGGAAACUGUUUAUCUAGAGUGUCGGGGG
Molecule: ribosomal RNA, 305 nt
Filed under: uncultured bacterium
Lineage: Bacteria
Description: bacterial SSU rRNA
Rfam family: Bacterial small subunit ribosomal RNA
Source: RNAcentral